UGAAUAGCUCAGUUGGUAGAGCACUCGGCUGUUAACCGGACGGUCACAGGUUCAAGUCCUGUUUCA
This 66-nucleotide transfer RNA is filed under the name uncultured Breznakia sp. It matches the Rfam family "tRNA". Rfam says of the family: Transfer RNA (tRNA) molecules are approximately 80 nucleotides in length. The record is from RNAcentral. Lineage: Bacteria; Bacillati; Bacillota; Erysipelotrichia; Erysipelotrichales; Erysipelotrichaceae.